This 62-nucleotide transfer RNA is filed under the name Macrocheles nataliae. RNAcentral describes it as "tRNA-Leu". The record is from RNAcentral. Lineage: Eukaryota; Metazoa; Arthropoda; Arachnida; Mesostigmata; Macrochelidae.
ACUAAUAUGGCAGAUUAGUGCAAAGAAUUUAAGCUUCUUAAAUGUUAUAAAAACUAUUAGUA